Molecule: ribosomal RNA, 1349 nt
Filed under: uncultured bacterium
Lineage: Bacteria
Description: partial 16S ribosomal RNA
Rfam family: Bacterial small subunit ribosomal RNA
Source: RNAcentral
GACGAACGCUGGCGGCGUGCUUAACACAUGCAAGUCGAACGGAAAGGCCCUGCUUUUGUGGGGUGCUCGAGUGGCGAACGGGUGAGUAACACGUGAGUAACCUGCCCUUGACUUUGGGAUAACUUCAGGAAACUGGGGCUAAUACCGGAUAGGAGCUCCUGCUGCAUGGUGGGGGUUGGAAAGUUUCGGCGGUUGGGGAUGGACUCGCGGCUUAUCAGCUUGUUGGUGGGGUAGUGGCUUACCAAGGCUUUGACGGGUAGCCGGCCUGAGAGGGUGACCGGCCACAUUGGGACUGAGAUACGGCCCAGACUCCUACGGGAGGCAGCAGUGGGGAAUAUUGCACAAUGGGCGGAAGCCUGAUGCAGCAACGCCGCGUGCGGGAUGACGGCCUUCGGGUUGUAAACCGCUUUCGCCUGUGACGAAGCGUGAGUGACGGUAAUGGGUAAAGAAGCACCGGCUAACUACGUGCCAGCAGCCGCGGUGAUACGUAGGGUGCGAGCGUUGUCCGGAUUUAUUGGGCGUAAAGGGCUCGUAGGUGGUUGAUCGCGUCGGAAGUGUAAUCUUGGGGCUUAACCCUGAGCGUGCUUUCGAUACGGGUUGACUUGAGGAAGGUAGGGGGAGAAUGGAAUUCCUGGUGGAGCGGUGGAAUGCGCAGAUAUCAGGAGGAACACCAGUGGCGAAAGCGGUUCUCUGGGGCUUUCCUGACGCUGAGGAGCGAAAGCGUGGGGAGCGAACAGGCUUAGAUACCCUGGUAGUCCACGCUGUAAACGGUGGGUACUAGGUGUGGGGUCCAUUCCACGGGUUCCGUGCCGUAGCUAACGCUUUAAGUACCCCGCCCUGGGGAGUACGGCCGCAAGGCUAAAACUCAAAGGAAUUGACGGGGGCCCCGCACAAGCGGCGGAGCAUGCGGAUUAAUUCGAUGCAACGCGUAGAACCUUACCUGGGUUUGACAUGGAUCGGGAGUGCUCAGAGAUGGGUGUGCCUCUUUUGGGGUCGGUUCACAGGUGGUGCAUGCCUGUCGUCAGCUCGUGUCGUGAGAUGUUGGGUUAAGUCCCGCAACGAGCGCAACCCUUGUUCACUGUUGCCAGCACGUUAUGGUGGGGACUCAGUGGAGACCGCCGGGGUCAACUCGGAGGAAGGUGGGGAUGACGUCAAGCCAUCAUGCCCCUUAUGUCCAGGGCUUCACGCAUGCUACAAUGGCUGGUACAGAGAGUGGCGAGCCUGUGAGGGUGAGCGAAUCUCGGAAAGCCGGUCUCAGUUCGGAUUGGGGUCUGCAACUCGACCUCAUGAAGUCGGAGUCGCUAGUAAUCGCAGAUCAGCAACGCUGCGGUGAAUACGUUCCCGGGGCU